Zootoca vivipara (common lizard) is the source of this 1539-nucleotide non-coding RNA. Lineage: Eukaryota; Metazoa; Chordata; Lepidosauria; Squamata; Lacertidae. The record is from the annotation of a RefSeq genome assembly.
AUGUCGGAGGGGUGCACUCUAAACGAGGAACGUGAAUGCAACAAAGAGCAAUGUUCUCCGCAAAGGCAUAGAAACCAAGUCAAAGGAAGGAGGAUUCAGAAGGCAGCAGCGAGGCAAGAUUACAUGGCAACCCUGUGGCCGAUUUGUGCUUUGCUUUGGCUUGCCAUAGGCAUUUCAUGUGAUUCAUCUCCAACCAUUGUUCAGACACCAGAGUCGGUGAUACAGCAGCCAAACAGCAAUGUAUCUCUUAAUUGCAACGUAAAUGGGGCACCGAACCCCAAUAUCUACUGGUACAGGCAAAUUCUCGAAGGGCGGAUUCAGCUGCUUGCCUAUUCUGUUGCCGUGGGAUCCUCAUAUGCCGAGGGCCCAGACCAUAUCGAAGGAUCAAGACUUGAAGACACCAAGUUCUUCCUGAGCAUCAAAAACCUCAUGGCCAAUGACACUGGGAUAUAUUAUUGUGCCUGGAGCCGACACACUGUGCAAAGUGAAUAUAACACCUCUACAAAAACCCUCCUCCCUGCUUGUGGCUCCGUCUGCUCCCACACCGCAGGGAAGUGGAGAAAAGGUGUCUCCUUUGGGGCCUCAAGUUCCUUCCUGUUGAAAUCACAAGGGACAGGGCCCACAUUAAAUGCUUCCUGAAAAUCGCGGCUCAGCUGAACAAUGCACAACGUGACGAAUUCGUGGGGUGCCUGAACACACACCCCUUCUAAUUUCUGGAUGCCAGAGACUGGGUUUAGCAUGGUGUAAUACAGACCAAACCAGUCUUCCCGUGAGUCGUCAAGCAAUAAGAGACAGGGUGAUGAUCCAUGAAGGAAGCCAUCAACAAAGGACUGACUCUGCGACAGAUGCAGAGGAGUGAAGCAGCACUUGGGUGAACAACACGUGAAAACAGCUGCUGCAGAUAUAAUAAUAAUAAUAAUAAUAAUAAUAAUAAUAAUAAUAAUAAUAAUUUAUUUAUAUCCUGCCCAUCUGGCUGGGUUUCCCCAGGCACUCUGGGUGGCUUCCAACAAAGAUUAAAAAUACAUUAAAACAUGCAUUAUGUGUACAGUGGUACCUCGGGUUACAAACGCUUCAGGUUACAAAUGCUUCAGGUUACAGACUCCGCUAAACCCAGAAAUAGUACCUCGGGUUAAGAACUUUGCUUCAGGACGAGAACAGAAAUUGUGCUCUGGCGGCUCUGCAGCAGUGGGAGGCCCCGUUAGCUAAAGUGGUGCUUCAGGUUAAUAACAGUUUCAGGUUAAGAACGGACCUCCGGAACGAAUUAAGUUCUUAACCAGAGGUACCACUGUAUAUGUGUUAUGCGUUCAAAACAAUAUAUCCGUCAAGACCCACUAGAUGGCACCCUGUCCCUUUACACUAUUGACAAAGGGCUGCUGGAAGUUAUUUUUGUGGCCAUAAACCCACCUGGAAUGUCACCUCCCAAGCAGAGAUGGAAAGUGAUCCCUUGCAGCAACAAUUUGGGAUUUCUAAACAGAACACUUAUGUGAGUAGCAGCUUGUAUCAGCUAAGACUUUACCUGUCAGUUUAGGGAGAAGUUAU